Molecule: ribosomal RNA, 351 nt
Filed under: uncultured eukaryote
Lineage: Eukaryota
Description: SSU rRNA
Rfam family: Eukaryotic small subunit ribosomal RNA
Source: RNAcentral
CAAUAGCGUAUAUUAAAGCUGUUGCGGUUAAAAGCUCGUAGUUGGACUUCUGCUGAGGACGACUGGUCUGCCUCUGGGUGAGUAUCUGGUUCGGGCCUGAAGCAUCUUCUUGGAGGUUGCAAGCGCACUUCAUUGUGUGGUGCAACCGACUGGAAUUUUACUUUGAGGAAAUUAGAGUGUUCAAGGGAGGCGUACGCCUCGCAUAGGUUAGCAUGGAAUAAUGCUGUAAGACCAUGGUAUUGCUGUGUUGGUUUCUAUCACCUAAGGUAAUGAUAAACAGGGAUAGUUGGGGCAUGCUAUUAAUACUGUCAGAGGUGAAAUUUCUUGGAUUUGUUAAAGACGAACGACUGC